GUGCAGACGUUUCCAUUUCGCGCUAAACUCCGAUAGUGAGUGCUGAUACAGACAAAGCUUGGUUGGGUUUGUUCAGCUUACGAUGCCUGGCAUCCUAGACGAUUGCGAGAAGUUCUUCGGUACUUCAGAUUUGUACAAGGUUUUAGCGGUACGGAAAGAGGCGAAGGAUGGAGAAAUCCGACGCGGCUAUCACAAAGUGUCAUUGCAGGUUCACCCUGACCGAGUACCGGCAGAUGAGAAAGAGGAGGCCACUGCCAAAUUCCAGAUACUUGGUAAAGUGUAUACGGUUCUCAGCGACAAGGAGCAGCGAGCUUUAUAUGAUGAGCAAGGAAUUGUUGAUGAAGAAGCUGAAUCUAUGACUCAAGACAGAAACUGGCAUGAGUAUUGGCGCUUGCUGUUUAAUAAGAUAACGAUGGCAGAUAUAACUUCAUAUAAGGAAAAAUACCAAGGUUCUGAAGAAGAGAAAGAAGAAGUCCUUCAAGCAUAUAUUGACUUUGAGGGUGACAUGGAUGAAGUUAUGGCAUCGGUUCCAUGUGUUGAGUAUACAGAUGAACCAAGAAUAAGAGAUAUCAUUGACCAAGCCAUUGAAAGGAAAGAAGUCCCAUCCUAUGAUGCUUUUGUGAAGGAAAGAAAAAAGAAACAUACUCAACGACAAAAAAGGGGUCUUGCAGAAGCCAAAGAAGCUGAAAUUAUGGCUAAGGAGCUCUGCCUUGGUGAAGGUGCAGAUGAUCUCAAAGCAUUAAUUCAGAAAAGACAAAAGGAUCGAGCAAACGAAGCAGAUCACUUCUUGGCUCAAAUGGAAGCUAAAUACUGCAAUAAACCCAAAAGGGGAGGGAGAAAAACAGCACAAAAAAGAAAAUGAGUUGUGUGGUAACAAGCUUUGCAAGUUCCACACUUAUAGAAACAUUUCUUAUUGUUUCAGUUCUGUUAGCUCUGUAGGUCCUCAGUUACCAUCCUUUCAAAAACAUCAUGUGAGCGGAUACGAAAACAGAUUUAUGACGCAAAUAUUAAUGUCUCUACUCUGGAAUUGUAUUACGCUCCUCUGUUGAUUAUUUAAAAAAAAUGUUUUUCAUUGUUGGUGUUUUAAUAAAGCUUUUGUAAAAUAACUUCA
Molecule: RNA transcript, 1111 nt
Organism: Spea bombifrons (plains spadefoot toad)
Lineage: Eukaryota; Metazoa; Chordata; Amphibia; Anura; Pelobatidae
Gene: DNAJC9
Gene name: DnaJ heat shock protein family (Hsp40) member C9
Exons: 7
Source: RefSeq, a predicted model, not a curated record